RNAcentral lists this ribosomal RNA (473 nucleotides) under Escherichia coli. Its description in RNAcentral is "bacterial SSU rRNA". It matches the Rfam family "Bacterial small subunit ribosomal RNA", at positions 1 to 470 of the family's 1533-position model. The record is from RNAcentral. Lineage: Bacteria; Pseudomonadati; Pseudomonadota; Gammaproteobacteria; Enterobacterales; Enterobacteriaceae.
AAAUUGAAGAGUUUGAUCAUGGCUCAGAUUGAACGCUGGCGGCAGGCCUAACACAUGCAAGUCGAACGGUAACAGAAAGCAGCUUGCUGCUUCGCUGACGAGUGGCGGACGGGUGAGUAAUGUCUGGGAAACUGCCUGAUGGAGGGGGAUAACUACUGGAAACGGUAGCUAAUACCGCAUAACGUCGCAAGACCAAAGAGGGGGACCUUCGGGCCUCUUGCCAUCGGAUGUGCCCAGAUGGGAUUAGCUAGUAGGUGGGGUAACGGCUCACCUAGGCGACGAUCCCUAGCUGGUCUGAGAGGAUGACCAGCCACACUGGAACUGAGACACGGUCCAGACUCCUACGGGAGGCAGCAGUGGGGAAUAUUGCACAAUGGGCGCAAGCCUGAUGCAGCCAUGCCGCGUGUAUGAAGAAGGCCUUCGGGUUGUAAAGUACUUUCAGCGGGGAGGAAGGGAGUAAAGUUAAUACCUUU